RNAcentral lists this ribosomal RNA (280 nucleotides) under uncultured bacterium. RNAcentral's name for it is "partial 16S ribosomal RNA". It matches the Rfam family "Bacterial small subunit ribosomal RNA", at positions 226 to 507 of the family's 1533-position model. The record is from RNAcentral.
UGAGCCUGCGUCUGAUUAGCUAGUUGCGGAGUAUAGCCCACCAAGGCGACCGAUCAGUAGCUGGUCUGAGAGGAUGAUCAGCCACACUGGAACUGAGACACGGUCCAGACUCCUACGGGAGGCAGCAGUAAGGAAUAUUUGCUCAAUGGGAGAAUCCUGAAGCAGCAACGCCGCGUGAGGGAUGAAGGGCUUUUGCUCGUAAACCUCUGUAGUGAGGGAAAAAAUUUCCAUUCUAUGGAAUAUGAUGGUACCUCAAAAGUAAGCCCCGGCUAACUACGUG